UUGGUGAAAUGCAAAUGGAGCUUGUUGAAUUACAGCCCAAAUUGGAGGAAGCUAAAAUUGAAAAUGCAAAUAUGAUGCAGGUUAUUGAGAUAGAGUCUGUACAAGUGGAAGCGAAAAGACAAUUUGUGAAAUUGGAUGAAGAGAUAGCCAGUGGGAAAGCUGAAGAAGCCCAAGCUCUGAAAAAUGAGUGUGAAAGUGACCUAGCUGAGGCGAUUCCAGCCUUGGAAGCGGCUCUGUCUGCACUGGAUACACUUAAG
RNAcentral lists this long non-coding RNA (257 nucleotides) under Pan troglodytes (chimpanzee). Its description in RNAcentral is "long non-coding RNA NONPTRT011943". The record is from RNAcentral. Lineage: Eukaryota; Metazoa; Chordata; Mammalia; Primates; Hominidae.